GACGAACGCUGGCGGCGUGCUUAACACAUGCAAGUCGAACGGAAAGGCCCUGCUUUUUUGCGGUGCUCGAGUGGCGAACGGGUGAGUAACACGUGAGUAACCUGCCCUUGACUUUGGGAUAACUUCAGGAAACUGGGGCUAAUACCGGAUAGGAGCUCCUGCUUCAUGGUGGGGGUUGGAAAGUUUCGGCGGUUGGGGAUGGACUCGCGGCUUAUCAGCUUGUUCGUGGGGUAGUGGCUUACCAAGGCUUUGACGGGUAGCAGGCCUGAGAGGGUGACCGGCCACAUUGGGACUGAGAUACGGCCCAGACUCCUACGGGAGGCAGCAGUGGGGAAUAUUGCACAAUGGGCGGAAGCCUGAUGCAGCAACGCCGCGUGCGGGAUGACGGCCUUCGGGUUGUAAACCGCUUUCGCCUGUGACGAAGCGUGAGUGACGGUAAUGGGUAAAGAAGCACCGGCUAACUACGUG
RNAcentral lists this ribosomal RNA (468 nucleotides) under uncultured bacterium. RNAcentral describes it as "partial 16S ribosomal RNA". It matches the Rfam family "Bacterial small subunit ribosomal RNA", at positions 28 to 507 of the family's 1533-position model. The record is from RNAcentral.